RNAcentral lists this ribosomal RNA (146 nucleotides) under uncultured Bacillota bacterium. Its description in RNAcentral is "uncultured Firmicutes bacterium partial 16S ribosomal RNA". Lineage: Bacteria; Bacillati; Bacillota. The record is from RNAcentral.
CCCGCUGAAUGAGGCGAGCCUGACGGAGCAUGCCGCGUGAGGUGAAGCGCUCUGACGUGUAAACCACUGUCAGGGGUUGGAAACAAUGAUCGACCCCAGAGGAAGUGGCGACUAACUCUGUGCCAGCAGCCGCGGUAAUACCCCCC